RNAcentral lists this long non-coding RNA (856 nucleotides) under Pan troglodytes (chimpanzee). RNAcentral describes it as "long non-coding RNA NONPTRT008925". Lineage: Eukaryota; Metazoa; Chordata; Mammalia; Primates; Hominidae. The record is from RNAcentral.
UGAGAAUCUAGCAGAGAAGUUGAUUGGUGUUCUCUUUGAGGUGUGGUUACUAGCUUGUACUCGGUGCUUCCCAACACCUCCUUAUUGGAAAACAGCCAAGGAGAUGGUGGCUAACUGGAGGCAUCACCCAGCAGUGGUGGAGCAGUGGAGCAAGGUCAUUUGUGCACUCACUUCCAGAUUGCUACGCUUUACAUAUGGUCCUUCAUUUCCUGCAUUUAAAGUUCCCGAUGAAGAUGCCAGUCUGAUCCCUCCAGAAAUGGAUAAUGAGUGUGUUGCACAGACAUGGUUUCGCUUUUUACACAUGUUAAGUAAUCCUGUGGAUUUGAGUAACCCAGCUAUUAUAAGCUCUACUCCCAAAUUUCAGGAACAGUUCUUGAAUGUGAGCGGAAUGCCGCAAGAAUUGAAUCAAUAUCCCUGCCUUAAACAUCUGCCUCAAAUAUUUUUUCGUGCCAUGCGUGGAAUCAGCUGUCUGGUGGAUGCAUUCUUAGGUAUUUCUAGACCCCGAUCAGACAGUGCUCCCCCAACACCCGUGAAUAGAUUAAGUAUGCCUCAAAGUGCUGCUGUCAGUACCACCCCCCCACAUAACCGGAGGCACCGGGCUGUUACUGUGAAUAAGGCCACCAUGAAGACAAGCACAGUUAGUACUGCUCAUGCCUCUAAAGUUCAGCACCAGACGUCCUCCACCUCUCCUCUGUCAAGUCCAAAUCAGACUAGUUCAGAACCCCGGCCACUGCCUGCCCCUCGGAGACCAAAGGUUAACAGCAUCUUGAAUCUCUUUGGAUCAUGGUUAUUUGAUGCAGCAUUUGUUCACUGUAAACUUCAUAAUGGGAUAAACAGAGACAGCAGCAUGACUGGU